UACAUUUUAUUAUACGAUGUAUAAAGGUUUUUGAAACCUAAGGAAAUAGUUUGAUUCUAUUAAAUGUAA
RNAcentral lists this transfer RNA (69 nucleotides) under Callimerus sp. RNAcentral describes it as "tRNA-Gln". The record is from RNAcentral. Lineage: Eukaryota; Metazoa; Arthropoda; Insecta; Coleoptera; Cleridae.